GAUGAACGCUGGCGGCGUGCCUAAUACAUGCAAGUCGAGCGAACAGACGAGGAGCUUGCUCCUCUGACGUUAGCGGCGGACGGGUGAGUAACACGUGGAUAACCUACCUAUAAGACUGGGAUAACUUCGGGAAACCGGAGCUAAUACCGGAUAAUAUAUUGAACCGCAUGGUUCAAUAGUGAAAGACGGUUUUGCUGUCACUUAUAGAUGGAUCCGCGCCGCAUUAGCUAGUUGGUAAGGUAACGGCUUACCAAGGCAACGAUGCGUAGCCGACCUGAGAGGGGGAUCGGCCACACGGGAACGGAGACACGGUCCAGACUCCUACGGGAGGCAGCAGUAGGGAAUCUUCCGCAAUGGGCGAAAGCCUGACGGAGCAACGCGGCGUGAGGGAUGAAGGUCUUCGGAUCGUAAAACUCUGUUAUUAGGGAAGAACAAAUGUGGAAGUAACUAUGCACGUCUUGACGGUACCUAAUCAGAAAGCCACGGCUAACUACGUG
This 497-nucleotide ribosomal RNA is filed under the name uncultured bacterium. RNAcentral's name for it is "partial 16S ribosomal RNA". It matches the Rfam family "Bacterial small subunit ribosomal RNA", at positions 28 to 507 of the family's 1533-position model. The record is from RNAcentral.